Molecule: long non-coding RNA, 7348 nt
Filed under: Citrus maxima (pomelo)
Lineage: Eukaryota; Viridiplantae; Streptophyta; Magnoliopsida; Sapindales; Rutaceae
Description: long non-coding RNA (CMAX_LNC003692)
Source: RNAcentral
GGAAAGCCCGCCUCUGGGAAGGAAGUGAAAUUUGGGCAAGAGAUGACUCUUAAAUGCUCAAGAGAUACGAGGUACUGAAAACCCUUGGAAGAUAGGCGUUCCAAUUUUGGGAAAUCUGAAAUUCCAAUGCUGGUCAGUGUGGUGGGCAAUAUCACUCCCUUCUCUACCUCAGGAAAAGACACAGCAUCUGAGCAUCCAUGAAUGCUGAGUUCCCUAAGAGAUGUCAACUUGUGAAAGCCCCACUUGACGAGUGGCUUAUACAUAUUAUCACCCGAAAUUCCAACGGACGUUAGGUUGGUGGAUAAACCCUCUUCCGGAAAGAAUACAAUGCCUGGGCAUUUCUUUAGGAAUAAUCGUUGAAGAGAGCUGAGUUUGCCGGUUGGUAGUGGGGCUUUAAGUUUAUCACAGUCUUCGAUUGAAACGCCUACGAGAUUGCUGGGAAGCGCAUCUUCUGGGAGAGAAGCUAGAUUAUGACAACGUACGAUACGUAUCUCAUGAAGAUGGCUAAGAUUGCUCAACCCUUUUGGUAACGAUUUAAGACUAUCACAACCCAAUAUCAGAAUAGAUCUAAGACAUGCAUCAUCAUGGAAUCUCUCGGCUAGAUACUCUAUAUUUGAACAACUAAAAAUUGUCAGCUCUUCGACCGCCACAGGUAAUUGGCAUUCUGAUGUCAGCACCUUGAAAUUGUCACAAUUCUUAAUAUCAAAGCGUUUGAGUGUGACGGGUAACCGGCCUCCGCAUAAGCAAGUGAGCGAUGGGCAGUUGAAGACGGAUAAGCUCUCAAGGUCAAGAUACGUGCCGCUGCUGCUCUUGAUGUUUUUCUCCAGCACCGAAGAAGAAGUACAGCUAUUUUCUCUAUCAUCCAACACACUCUGCAGUGUCUUACAAUCUUCUACUUCAAUUGCUUUCAGAGAUGAAGGUAGAUGCUCUCUUGCAAUGGAUGUUAAAGAAUGACAUCCUUUGAUUCGCAAGACUUUAAGUUGUGCAUUGUUGUGUAUCACUCCAUCAGAUAAGGAUGUUAGAGCAUUGCAAUGUUCGAUGGUAAUUUCACUCAAACUAGAAAGAAAGCAGAUGUUCCGAAGCGAAACAAGAGUUGGACAAUUCCCGAUAAGCAGGUCUUUUAGGCAGGUGAAGCUGUGCAGCCCUUGUAGUGGCUUCCCCAGACGAAUCUCAUUUGCAAACCCUUCACAACCAACAAUCUUCAGUUGUUCUACUUUCUGAAACUUUUGACUCGACCAAUUUUCGAACACUGAAAUAUUGCAAAGAGUCAUUUUGUUCGGUGACUUGGACUCAGAUGGACCAUCGCACACCAACCUUUUGCAUCCAUCAAUUUCCAUUGUGCAGAGAGCUGGAAGGCUUGGUAAUGAUACCGCCAACUGCAUGCAUCCAGCAAUCACAAUUUCCUCCAAAGAAGGAAGAUGGUUAGGUAAUCGUCCAGAGAGCUUGGGGCAUUUUUUAAUGGAAAGCUUUCGGAGACGAGGGAAUGCCUGAACAUGCUCAUCAUUGUCUCUGUUAGGUUCCCAGUGCUCCCAUUCCUGCAAAUCCUCAAAAUAUAAAGUCUGCAAUGAUUGAAAAGGUUUUGAGCAACCUUCCCCAUAAAUCUCCGAACCUAUGCUUUUUAAUGCCGACAUGUCUCGGAUGGUGAGAUCUUUUAGUGAGCUCAAUUGUCCCAGCGGGGGCAAGGAUGUGAUGCUUAUGCAACUUUCCAAUAUUAGAACCGCAACAUCGGAAAAUGAUGGAUCCCCUACCCAAGAUGGGAACCUUGUACCACCGUAAGAAUCGAUUGCAAGCUUUUUAAUUUUACUGUGAGGCUUCAGCAUGUCGAGAAUAUUCUUUUCUCUGACCUCAUCUACUGAGUCGCCAUCCCGCCGUGCCGCCCAUUUUAACUUCAAGUCUUCUAGGUCUUCCUUCACUCUUAACAUAGCCUCAUUUGCUUCUUGUGAAUCGAUGACAUUCUCUAGUCCAGAAAUGGAGAGUUUUCCUCGAAGAAACUUCCAAUUCUUCAAAUCUCUCAAAGCACAGCCGCUAUCCUUGCCAACAAUGAAAUUAGUCAAAGUCCGAAGGCGUUUUAACUCCUUCAUUCCUAAUGGUAACUCACGUAACCGAUAUGCACUUUCAAUAUCAAGAUGAUGUAAAUUAACCAAAUUUCCGAUACUUGAUGGCAACUUCAAGAGAAACCAGCAAUUACUCAAGAUCAAAAUUUCUAAAUUGAAAAGUGAGGUGAUUGCCUCAGGUAAACAUUGGAUCCAACUGUUAGAGAAGUUGAGAUACCGUAGAUGUUUUAAACAUCCAAUUGAUACGGGAACCUCAGUUAUAAGGUAUCUUCCCAAAGAUAACACCCUCAACUUUUUACACUUCGGUAGCAAAUCAGAUAAAACCAUGGGACUUAUGUGGCGAAAAUAAAAUGAACCUUCUUCCACGGAUAUUGGCAAGAAUGUCCUCAAAUUCUCAACUUUGUCGAGAACUUUAAAUUUAUCCAUCCCAUGAAAAGGACCAUUGCUGAUGUACGAAGAAUGACGAACCUUUUCAAAUGCUUUUGACUGUCUAUCCACCGAAAAUUGAUCGUCCAAUCUAAACCAUGUCUCACCAGAAGCCCAUUGAGCCAAAUCAUGUACAAGGUCAUGCAUCACAUAUUUAGAUUCGCUGUUACUUGAUUUUUGGAACAUGGAUCUUGACAAGAGAUCAUGAAAAUACUUACUGCCCAAAUCUUCUAGUUCUUUACUGUCUUCAGAUUGUUGAAUUAGACCUUCUGCUAUCCAUAAAAGAACUAGUUCCUCCUCUUUGAAUUCAUAAUCCUUCGGCAAAAUUGCACAAUAGGCAAAACAUCUUUUUAAAUGCGAAGGCAGAUGGUGAUAGCUUAACUUCAAAACAGAAGGAAUCUCAGUUUUAUCCUGUAAGUUCCAAAUUUUACUGUCCAAUAUAGCUCUCCACUCAUCAACUCUCUCCUUAGAUCGAAGAAGACCACCAAGAGCCCUAGCUGCCAGAGGUAGACCUUUGCAUUUCUCAACAACCCUUUGACGAGCUGACUCGAAGUUUCCAUGCGUGCCAGCAUCUCUACCCUCAAAUGCAUGAUUUACGAACACCGACCAGCAGUCAUCAUCAGACAGAAGCUUCAGCUCCAGCUCAUAAUUUUUACCAGAUCCCAUUCUUGAGGCGACAUCCAUGCUGCGAGUGGUCACAAUUAUCCUGCUGCCGGGUGCUCCAGCCAUGAAGGGAGACUUUAGAGCUUGCCACAAGUCAUAUCUCUCGCUCCAAACAUCAUCCAAGACAAUCAAAAACUUCUUCUUAAACACAGCUUCCUUCAGCUUAAGCUGCACCGAAUUCAAAUCCUUCAGAUCACAAGGGGAGAGUGUGAUCGACUCCAGAAUAGCCUUGGAGAUCCUGAGAACAUCAAAGUCAUGAGAAACACAAACCCAAGCUUUGGGUUCGAAAGCUUCCGUUAACUUGUCGUUGUACACCUCCUGAGCAAGUGUUGUUUUCCCGAUACCUCCCAUACCCACAAGGGGUAUUACUCGAAAGUUGGCAGCAUCACUCGGAUCAUUCUCUAACACCAUAUCAAGUAUCCUCGCCUUGUCUUCAUCUCUCCCAUAAACAGCAGGUUCGCUUGUUAAGCAAGUGGUGGGCGGUCUUUGCCUUACUGCAGCAGCAUGCGGUGACCCUCCAGCAAUCUUUUCCAAUUGAAGAACAUCUGUCCUUUUACGGAGUUCUUCAAGCCGGCUACUGAUUUCUUUAAUCUUAGGCCUCAUGCUAAUACCGGACAUAACACUACUUGCACCAGAGGAAACACCUUGGAUGAGGCUGCGAACCCUGCUAGAGCUGGCUUCACGUUUCUUCAACAAUCUCAGCCCGGCUUCAGUAGCAAACUCAUCGAGUACGUCCUCUGCAUCGUAAGCCAAGUCUCGGAGAUCAUCCAGCCACAGCUUCACAGCCCUGUCAGUGAGCUGCUUCUCCUCUGCAUCGAUCAGCACUGCCUCAAUUGUUUUUAGCGUUUUCUGCCACUUUUUCAGCUUUGAACGGACACCCUCUUGGCCGGCUAACUUCAGCAACUCAGGGGACAUUAAUCUUUCGAACAGCACCUGAAGAAAGGCAGAAAGAAAGAGCUCCGCCACAGGCAUGGCUUCUUUUUUUUGGUUUGGGCUUUUGUAAGUCAAAAAAGAGAUAGAAAAUCAGAAGAAUUCAGACGGGUUAUCACACAAAAGAGAAUAAUGAAAGCAAUGAGCAAGGGAGACUGAGACUUCAAUAUUUGCAAAAGAAAGGUUAUCAGAAUCCAGAAACAGUAAAAUGGUUUUGAACUGUAUUUUUUACGAAUAAUGAGGUUUGUACAUCGUUAGUACAAUUUUUAUGAUAGACCAAAAAAAAAAAAAUUAUCUCGCCGAAAUUUUCUUUUAUCUUAUAAUUUUUUUUCUAUUUUGUAGUGAUGGUGUAUUAAUUAUAAUACUAACUGUAGCAAAUAUGUUGUUAUUGAUUUUUUUUAAUUAAUUUUUCAUUUAAUGGUAGCAUGUAUAAUUUUAAGUAUGCAUAAUUUUAACUUGUUGUUUUCAUUAUUUUUCUAAUUAACCAUAAGCCAUACAAUUUUAAGGAUGAUUCUAUUACCGUUUAAAAAAAUUCUGAAUUAAAUAUUAGUAAUUUUACAAAAUAAUAAUAUUUGAUAGUGUCACUCAUGUAUUGCUUAUCAUUUAUUACUUUAUUAUAUUAUCUAAUUAAUGAAUUUCAUAUGAAUUAGGACUUAAUUGGGACUCAAAUAUUGAAUCUCUACUAUUAUCCUUUGCAAAAUGUCAUCACUAGACAAUUACCAAUAAUCUAUAAAGUUAAAUUAAAAAUUUAAAAGCUUAACUCUAAGCAUCAAAUCAAUGUCAUUAAAACAUUCAAAGCAACUUCAUGCCAUACUAAUAUUUUUAUAAAUAAAUACAUAAUUGUUUAGUUCAUUUUUAAAAAAAAUAAUGAUAUGCAAUGAAAAUCUACUUAUAUUUCUACCCUAUUAGUAUUCAUGAAUAUAUCUAUCUUACUCAUUUUCGUAAGAUAUAGCAACAUGUAUGUGUGUGUGUAUAUACGGUACCCCACUCCUAUCAUCCCAUAUUAAAUGUUUCUGCUUGAACCCUUAAACCUUGAUAUCAAUCUGUCUUUAAGCCUUGUUUCUAAUAUUAUUAUAAGAUCUUUACUUCUAACUUUAAAUUUUUAGGUCUAACAAAUUUAUUAUGUAAUUUAUUUAUAUAAUUUCUUAGUGCCUAUUCCUUACACAUUUAAUAUAAAAUAAAAAUACAUAUUUUUUUAAUUUUUUGGUUCACUUUAAAGCUCUUAUUUUUCAACGAAUUCCUUUCUUAAUUCUUAAGUCAGCAUCUUAAAAAUUUUAUUAAAACUUAUUAAAUAUUAUUAUUAUUCUUUACCUAAUUUAGACACAAAUCUAUAGCUAUUAUGGGGACAAAAGAUUCUCGUUAUUGAAAAUUUACGACUCUCUUUUUCGAAGGGAAAAAAAAAAAAAAAAAAAAGAAGUUAUUUGGCACCUGUGUAAGUAAUGCGCUUAACACUCUUAUAUAUAAACAAUUUGUCAUGAUUGGAGCAGGUUCUUGGAAAUCAAUGGAUUUAAAAUUUUUCUUGUUAUAGGAAUCAUGUGGACUCCAGCACGGUCUAAAAUGACGGCCCUUGCAGCUUUUUUUUAUUACUUUUUAUUUAAAAAAAGAAAAAGAAAAUUGAGAAAGAGUAGUGAUAUUCUCCAGCGGCCCACACUUUUUCUAAACGGGUAAUUUUUAAAAGCCUCCCCUGAGGUUUGGACUUGUUGCAAGUAGAUGGUGAAAAUAUAUUUAUUUGUAAAAAAUUCUUUACAUUUUUGCUCUGUUUGGUUGCCGUUUGGGUAGUUGUGGGCAUUGUUGACAUUUUACAAUAAAACAAAUCUUUUGCAACUUUCGUUGCCUUGAGAACAAUAACUAGUCAUUUCAGUUACUGAUGUUCUGACACAAAUAAAAACCAAACUUGCAAAAAGAAGUUUGGUUUCGUUUCGUUUCAAACAAUGCAUCUCUUUGAUAUCAUUUUUUUUAAUAAUCUGAAAAACUAAAAACAAAAAACGAAAGUAAAAACAAAUAUGACCACCACCAUCAUCGUAUAAAACCCUGGAUACAAAGAUGAUUUCUGAUCAUCACAGAGGAUUACCGAAUUGAUGAGCAGCAGCUUACAGUGGCAACGAGUAGCAGCACAAACCACAAGCAUGAACCACUAGCCCACGAUGUAUCGCAGUGAGUUUCGCCGACGACCCACAAGCACGAACAUCUAUGUCAAAGCAAAUCAGAGGUGAGUUGUUUGAAUACACACUCUUAUCUACUUUUUAUUUGUAGAUAACUCAAAAAGAUAUUGUGAUUUAUAUACAUGGCUUAGGUAAAAUCAGAAUUGAAAUUAGAAAAAAUUGGCUCAGUAAUAACAGUAAAACAAGGCAAAAUUUGUUUGAUCUAUAUAUAACAUUUGUUGCGUACGGUCGUGGACUUACAAUGGUUAAGCCUUAGAGUUUACAGCUUAUAGGAGAAUUGGUUUUUGGUUUAAUAUUUGUGGAAGGAAUAAUAAGAAUCAAGCUAUUUGACACCGGACACUUGAUUAAUGUAAGAAAUUCUACUCAAAACUGAAAAGUCUGCACUUAACUGAUCAUAACUUACUAUAGAUAACUCCAAAUUUAUAUUAGUAAAAUUCAUUGGAAAGCUAAUAGAAAUAUCUUUCCAAUGAUGUAUGGCUCAAAAAUUAAUUCGAUCUCAUGCAGUACAGUUUAAUUUCCAAAGAUGACCCUUCUGCACAGAAAUUCUGCUCACUUGAUUAAUAUAAGAAAUUCUACUCAAAACUGAACAGUCUGCAUUUAAUUGAUCAUAACUUACUGUAGAUAGCUCCAAAUUUAGAUUAGUCAAAUUUAAUGGAAAGCUAAUAGAAAUAUCUUUCCAAUGAUGUAUGGGUCGAAAAUUAAUUUGAUCUCAUGCAGUACAGUUUAAUUCCCAAAGAUGCCCCUUCUGCACAGAAAUUCUGCUCACUUGAUUAAUGUAAGAAAUUCUAUUCAAAACUGAACAGUCUGUACUUAACUGAUCAUAACUUACUGUAGAUAGCUCCAAAUUUAGAUUAGUAAAAUUCAUUGGAAAGAUAACAGAAAUAUCUUUCCAAUGAUGUAUGGCUCGAAAAUUAAUUCAAUCUCAUGCAGUACAGUUUAAUUCCCAAAGAUGCCCCUUCUGCACAGAAAUUCUGCUCACUUGAUUAAUGUAAUUCUGCUCACUUGAUACCAAUCUGGUGGUGCUUGCUGGGUUAUCCAUUGUAAAAAUGGAAAAAAUGAAUGUAUUUCUUGCCUGUUGUGUGAAGGUUGUAUAGAGUGGCCAGAACUGAUACU